CAAUUAAAUGACGUUAUCCCGUUACUGCGCCGUUCUAGUGUGCCCCCUCGUAAUCGAACCAUUUUACAUUACGUCACGAUGCAUGCGACGUGAAACUGUUG
Haliotis rubra (blacklip abalone) is the source of this 101-nucleotide long non-coding RNA. RefSeq lists it as uncharacterized. The transcript is spliced from 3 exons. The record is from RefSeq and is a predicted model, not a curated record. Lineage: Eukaryota; Metazoa; Mollusca; Gastropoda; Lepetellida; Haliotidae.